This 492-nucleotide ribosomal RNA is filed under the name uncultured bacterium. RNAcentral describes it as "partial 16S ribosomal RNA". It matches the Rfam family "Bacterial small subunit ribosomal RNA", at positions 29 to 507 of the family's 1533-position model. The record is from RNAcentral.
AGUGAACGCUGGCGGUAGGCCUAACACAUGCAAGUCGAACGGCAGCACAGUAAGAGCUUGCUCUUACGGGUGGCGAGUGGCGGACGGGUGAGGAAUACAUCGGAAUCUACUUUUUCGUGGGGGAUAACGUAGGGAAACUUACGCUAAUACCGCAUACGACCUACGGGUGAAAGCAGGGGAUCUUCGGACCUUGCGCGAUUGAAUGAGCCGAUGUCGGAUUAGCUAGUUGGCGGGGUAAAGGCCCACCAAGGCGACGAUCCGUAGCUGGUCUGAGAGGAUGAUCAGCCACACUGGAACUGAGACACGGUCCAGACUCCUACGGGAGGCAGCAGUGGGGAAUAUUGGUCAAUGGGCGCAAGCCUGAUCCAGCCAUACCGCGUGGGUGAAGAGGGCCUUCGGGUUGUAAAGCCCUUUUGUUGGGAAAGAAAAGCAGCAGGUUAAUACCCCGCUGUUCUGACGGUACCCAAAGAAUAAGCACCGGCUAACUUCGUG